This 466-nucleotide ribosomal RNA is filed under the name uncultured bacterium. Its description in RNAcentral is "partial 16S ribosomal RNA". It matches the Rfam family "Bacterial small subunit ribosomal RNA", at positions 28 to 507 of the family's 1533-position model. The record is from RNAcentral.
GAUGAAUGCUGGCGGCGUGCUUAACACAUGCAAGUCGAACGAUGAAGCCCAGCUUGCUGGGUGGAUUAGUGGCGAACGGGUGAGUAACACGUGAGUAACCUGCCCUUAACUCUGGGAUAAGCCUGGGAAACUGGGUCUAUUACCGGAUAGGAGCGUCCACCGCAUGGUGGGUGUUGGAAAGAUUUAUCGGUUUUGGAUGGACUCGCGGCCUAUCAGCUUGUUGUUGAGGUAAUGGCUCACCAAGGCGACGACGGGUAGCCGGCCUGAGAGGGUGACCGGCCACACUGGGACUGAGACACGGCCCAGACUCCUACGGGAGGCAGCAGUGGGGAAUAUUGCACGAUGGGCGCAAGCCUGAUGCAGCGACGCCGCGUGAGGGAUGACGGCCUUCGGGUUGUAAACCUCUUUCAGUAGGGAAGAAGCGAAAGUGACGGUACCUGCAGAAGAAGCACCGGCUAACUACGUG